UCUCCAGCUGUUUUUGGACUACAAUUCCCAUCAUCCCUUACCAUUGGUCCUAGUAGCUGGGGGUGAUGAGAGUUGUAGUCCCAAAACAGCUGGAGA
Molecule: non-coding RNA, 96 nt
Organism: Podarcis lilfordi (Lilford's wall lizard)
Lineage: Eukaryota; Metazoa; Chordata; Lepidosauria; Squamata; Lacertidae
Source: the annotation of a GenBank genome assembly